AUUGAACGCUGGCGGAAUGCUUUACACAUGCAAGUCGAACGGCAGCACGGACUUCGGUCUGGUGGCGAGUGGCGAACGGGUGAGUAAUGUAUCGGAACGUGCCCAGUCGUGGGGGAUAACGUAGUGAAAAUUACGCUAAUACCGCAUACGAUCUAUGGAUGAAAGCGGGGGAUCGCAAGACCUCGCGCGAUUGGAGCGGCCGAUAGCAGAUUAGGUAGUUGGUGGGGUAAAGGCCCACCAAGCCAACGAUCUGUAGCUGGUCUGAGAGGACGUCCAGCCACACUGGAACUGAGACACGGUCCAGACUCCUACGGGAGGCAGCAGUGGGGAAUUUUGGACAAUGGGCGAAAGCCUGAUCCAGCCAUUCCGCGUGCAGGAUGAAGGCCCUCGGGUUGUAAACUGCUUUUGUACAGAACGAAAAGGUUUCUACUAAUACUAGAAGCUCAUGACGGUACUGUAAGAAUAAGCACCGGCUAACUACGUGCCAGCAGCCGCCGUAA
RNAcentral lists this ribosomal RNA (500 nucleotides) under uncultured bacterium. RNAcentral's name for it is "partial 16S ribosomal RNA". It matches the Rfam family "Bacterial small subunit ribosomal RNA", at positions 30 to 523 of the family's 1533-position model. The record is from RNAcentral.